UACGGAAGGGGCAAGCGUUGUUCGGAAUCAUUGGGCGUAAAGGGCGCGUAGGCGGUCUUGUGUGUCUGCUGUGAAAGCAUGCGGCUCAACCGUAGAAGGUCGGUAGAAACUGCAAGACUCGAGGCUGGGAGGGGCUGGUGGAAUUCCCUAUGUAGCGGUGAAAUGCGUAGAUAUAGGGGAGAACACUCGUGGCGAAGGCGGCCAGCUAGACCAGUCCUGACGCUGAGGCGCGACAGCGUGGGGAGCAAACAGG
Molecule: ribosomal RNA, 253 nt
Filed under: uncultured bacterium
Lineage: Bacteria
Description: partial 16S ribosomal RNA
Rfam family: Bacterial small subunit ribosomal RNA
Source: RNAcentral